Molecule: non-coding RNA, 3997 nt
Organism: Taeniopygia guttata (zebra finch)
Lineage: Eukaryota; Metazoa; Chordata; Aves; Passeriformes; Estrildidae
Source: RefSeq, a predicted model, not a curated record
GGCCGGAUGGGGUCACCUCGGCCGGGGGGAUCCACAGGGGGACGUGUGUGCUUUAGCACUGCUGUGUGGGACCCAGCUGCUUCGUGGGACGAGUUUGUCCCGGGACUUGAGGCUCUCUGGGAUCGUGUUUCAUGGAAUGAAGCUCGCGCUGCGUUCCCAGCUGCGGUGACAACGUUUUGUGGGAUGGGCUGAGCUCUGUUUCCCGGGAAGCAGCGGGAUGGGUGUCCCUGUGCCCACCCCCGUGGGUUGCCCAGAGAAGCUGCUCCUGUGGCUACGGCCGAGGGUCAGUGGGAAAACCUGAACAGUCCUGAUGGAAACGAUGGAAAAACAAGUUUGGUUUGGUUGUGGACUUGGCAUUUUCCCCCUGACCCCGACCUGAUCUAGGUGUUUUGCCUUAGGGAACAGGAGACAGAAGGGGAAAUGGAGAAAAAGAUAAUUCAUUACCUCAACAGGGACAAGCUUAUUUCUAUUUGCUCCCUGAUGCACCUGGAAUGAGUUGGGUCUCAGGAGGCACCUGGGAGCCUCCUUUUGUGUCCUGGGUGUGGCCGUGGCUAUAAAAGGGGUAAAGGAUGGAGGAGGGGCAGUGGCUGGGAUCAGUGGUGCCCUGCGGAUUUGCAUCUGGAAGCGGCCGCCAGUUUCCUGAUGAGAGUCCUGGAAACAGAACUCGAAGUCUGUAAGAAGUGCGAAUACUGUAGCUGGAGUGCUGAGAAUGGAGGAUCUUCAGAGAAUGUUGUCUGGGCAGCGUCUGACCCCAGGUCUCAGGGACUGCAUGGAGAUUCCUCUGGAGCAGGGUCACUCUGUGAGGAUGAGCCACAGAGGUUCAGUUCUUGGAGCAGCCUCCAGAGGACUGGACUGGGCUGUGGGAAGCAGGAACAGAGAGGCAGCUCUUCCUGGUGUUACCAGGAGGAAAGGAGAGAGGACAGUCUGCUGAUCCGGACUUCAGCUACAGACUGCACACCUCUUCACCCUUCGGCUACCCGUGUGCCACGAAGUCUCCAGGGACAGACUCUGCAGCCCUCUCCCCCUUCGGCUACCUGGAAAAAGCUACAACAGCGGGGGCGAGCUCCGUGUCGAGCCCCCUGCCCAGCCGAUCUUUUUAAUAAAGAGCUGAACACUAAUAAAGUCAUAAGCCCUGUUCAUUUUGCCUGGGCUGUUCCCUGGGAAGUUUUACGGAGGAUAUUGUUACAAGGUAAAUUCAUGGUCCUUCAUGUGGAAAGUUCUACUUUUGUGUCAAAAAGCCUUGAGAAUGCCCAGGAAUACAGUGUGACAUGUUUGACCUCUGAAAUGGGUCCUAUUUGGUAUAAAAUACCCAUUUUUUAGUGGUUUGUGUUUUUUCUGACCUUGGAGGAGUGUGGGGCUGACUAGUCAGGUUGGUGUCUGAGAAGGGGAAGGUGUCUGGGUUCCAGCAGCACUCCCAGGGCUGCUGCUCUUGGGUGUGAUGCAGAACACAGCAAUAUUCCUGCUGUGCAGAUGUGGAAGGGAGUGGAACAGCAAGUGGCAAAACUGGGCUUUGCUUCUUAAAUCCCAGAACAGCUGGGUUUAAGUUCCAUCAGCCAGAGGAGGGAAUGAGCCCUGGUGCCAGCCCUCCUGGGGGCACUGGACAGGUCUCACCAUUUCUCUGCCAUCAUUUGCAUGGUGUGAUUCUCCCUUGAGCAGAGAGGGCAGAAAAUGAGGCAGGAGGGGGAGCUCAUUUUGUUUCUGUGAGCUCCGGGCUUGGGGCAGCUGCAGAGCACUUUGGGUUCAAAUAAUCCUGCCCAAAUACAUCAGCUUGGACCUCUCUUGGGCACUUUUGUAUCCCUCUGUGCCACUCCUCCUCUGAUCUUUUACCUGCGAGGUGUGGGCUCAGAAACAUCUGCCUACUGGACAGGUUUUUACACGUACAAAUUUAUUUUCUUAGAAAAUACAUCAGCUGUAAGGAAAAUCCAUGGAAAACAGGUGGUUGGUACACUAGGUGAUGGUAGGUCUUGGGCUUUUUUUCUUCUGUUCUUUAACCUGCUCUUAAGAGAACCCCUAAACUGGAAAACUGAAAGUGUGUGGAUGGGGGGGAAGUUGCUUUUCAUUUUUUAAAUAUUGCUGUGGGUUUUGGUAGGUCAAGUGGCCCUACCAAAACAGAAUUGGAAUAAUUGAACUUCAGGACUCUGCACUUAAUUCUUUUAAUGUUGUUUGUGUGGGUGCAGGAAAUGCCAAAUCCCAGAGCAAUUCUGUGUCUGUAACAUUAAGUGCAACAUCUUUAAAACCAAGUGCUCAGUAUGGGCUUUUCACGUGGAUGCAAAAGGUCUAAAAGCCUUUCCUGUGCCCUGAAAGCCAAAAGGAGCCUGCCAGAAACAGGCCUUCAUUGCCUGUCCGGGAUUUCAAUUUGCUGCUGGAGUCUUCUCUCGGGUUUUUGUGCCAAAGGGGAUCUGGCCCUGGAACCAUAGAGGGUGUCUGUUGCCUUGGACAGGAAAAAUCGUUAAACUCCUCCCAUCUUUGCCAGAAGCUUCGGUGUUUAAGCAGCCAAAGCCAAGAGUCUUCAGCACCAGGGCUCUGUGUUACUAUUGGACAUGAAAUGAGUACACAGAAGCUUGGGCAACAGGUCUGCGCUGGAGGGCUCCUGGUCCUGCCCACGCUGUGGGGCCAGCAGGAACAAGGGGGAAUGUGGUGCCAGAGCUGUGUUCUGUCGGGCUGCGCUUCCCUCUGAGGACAGAGUCUGGGCUGAGGUGAGAUUGUUGUGAGUGCCUGCAUGAGCAAUCCAGGGAACUCGGAAUUGCAUCCGCUGCUGGGAACACUGCCUGAGGUCUGCUCAGUUUGUGUCUGUGAGGAGUGGGAUUUGGGCUGCAGAGGUGCUGUUGGCACAAAAACCAGAGUAAAUCCUCUCCCGGGAUGAGCAGUGAAGGACAGUGUAGCAGGGAAGGGGAGUAUUUACAAAGUAUGUCAAUAUUUCUCCCAAAACUGAGAGAAAUGGGGUGGAACAGAGAUGGGGGUGGUUUGGUUUUUUUGUCUGGGCCUGUUAUUCCUUGUGCAAGGUUUUAAAUCUGUUGUAUGAUUUACUCUCCAGUAUCUUUCUAACAAAAGAUGACUGAAAUUUAGUUUCGGGGUUAGAAGUUGGGUCCAUUCACUGCAAAGUCUUGCCAAGGCUGGAGGACUGGGGUGAUGGCUGCUCUCAGCAAAGGUUACUUUACUAAUACUGUGUCAGAUUUCCCUCAGUGCUGGGCAGGAAAGGUGAGGGUUUGGAUCAGGAAUUCUGCAAACAAGGCCUGUGUGAUGUUGGUUGUGGAGUUGUGUUUUUUAUGUUUUAUUACAUUUGUGUUAUGUAUAGGUUUGUUCCAUGUACCCCCGGUUCUAUAAUGGUUUCUCCCCGGGUUUUCCCGCCUUUCCCCCGUGUGUCCGUUAUCCCCAAAAGUGCUAAGUCAUCCCCCUGUUUACCCCAGAUGCCUGUCCGUCACUCUGUGUCCCUUCCCAUCCACCUAGAAUCUUCCAUCCGGGACACCGGGUGAUUGGUAAAGGACCUGGGACCCUUCCCCUGUCUAUCCUUCAUUGGAUGUACCCCCGUAUCACACCACCCUCGAACCCCUCCGCAGUUUUACCCCAUUGGCUGUUUGGUUUUCCCCGAUUCCGUAUUUAGUUCAUUUGCGCGGUUUGUUUCAUGCUUUCUUCUGGUGGGCUCCAGCGCACUCCACCCUGCCCGCGCCUUUCCGGCAAACCCCAGCGCGGCACGCCUGGUCCCCUUCGAGUUAUUGUAUUCCCCGUUGGAUUACAAUAAACGGAAUUCGCCCACAGAGAAAGACUCUCCUCGUAAUUCGCCGUGGGGUCGCUGGCUGCUCUCUGGAACUCCAAUAGCGCUUCCCAAAGCCCGCGAGGGUCCAGCGGGAAGCGCUAGAAACCUGCCCGCACCUCUCCCCUGAAGAGCUAGCCGGGGCUGAGGAAGGGCAUCGGGGAGAGAAGCGUCGGCAGUUGGUUGUUAUAAAUUAAAAUUUGUCCAGCCAAAUUAAUAUAAAAAAUAAAAUAUUUAUUUUGCAAU